Molecule: ribosomal RNA, 1347 nt
Filed under: uncultured bacterium
Lineage: Bacteria
Description: bacterial SSU rRNA
Rfam family: Bacterial small subunit ribosomal RNA
Source: RNAcentral
GACGAACGCUGGCGGCGUGCUUAACACAUGCAAGUCGAACGAUGAAGCCUAGCUUGCUAGGUGGAUUAGUGGCGAACGGGUGAGUAAUACGUGAGUAACCUACCUUUAACUCUGGGAUAAGCCCGGGAAACUGGGUCUAAUACCGGAUACGACCAAUCUCCGCAUGGGGUGUUGGUGGAAAGCGUUAUGUAGUGGUUAUAGAUGGGCUCACGGCCUAUCAGCUUGUUGGUGAGGUAACGGCUCACCAAGGCGACGACGGGUAGCCGGCCUGAGAGGGUGACCGGCCACACUGGGACUGAGACACGGCCCAGACUCCUACGGGAGGCAGCAGUGGGGAAUAUUGCACAAUGGGCGCAAGCCUGAUGCAGCGACGCCGCGUGAGGGAUGACGGCCUUCGGGUUGUAAACCUCUGUUAGCAGGGAAGAAGAGAGAUUGACGGUACCUGCAGAGAAAGCGCCGGCUAACUACGUGCCAGCAGCCGCGGUAAUACGUAGGGCGCGAGCGUUGUCCGGAAUUAUUGGGCGUAAAGAGCUUGUAGGCGGUUUGUCGCGUCUGCUGUGAAGGCCGGGGCUUAACUCCGUGUAUUGCAGUGGGUACGGGCAGACUAGAGUGCAGUAGGGGAGACUGGAAUUCCUGGUGUAGCGGUGGAAUGCGCAGAUAUCAGGAGGAACACCGAUGGCGAAGGCAGGUCUCUGGGCUGUAACUGACGCUGAGAAGCGAAAGCAUGGGGAGCGAACAGGAUUAGAUACCCUGGUAGUCCAUGCCGUAAACGUUGGGCACUAGGUGUGGGGGACAUUCCACGUUUUCCGCGCCGUAGCUAACGCAUUAAGUGCCCCGCCUGGGGAGUACGGCCGCAAGGCUAAAACUCAAAGAAAUUGACGGGGGCCCGCACAAGCGGCGGAGCAUGCGGAUUAAUUCGAUGCAACGCGAAGAACCUUACCAAGGCUUGACAUAUACUGGACCGCAUCAGAGAUGGUGUUUCCCUUCGGGGCUGGUAUACAGGUGGUGCAUGGUUGUCGUCAGCUCGUGUCGUGAGAUGUUGGGUUAAGUCCCGCAACGAGCGCAACCCUCGUUCUAUGUUGCCAGCACGUUAUGGUGGGGACUCAUAGGAGACUGCCGGGGUCAACUCGGAGGAAGGUGGGGAUGACGUCAAAUCAUCAUGCCCCUUAUGUCUUGGGCUUCACGCAUGCUACAAUGGCCGGUACAGAGGGUUGCGAUACUGUGAGGUGGAGCUAAUCCCUAAAAGCCGGUCUUAGUUCGGAUUGGGGUCUGCAACUCGACCCCAUGAAGUCGGAGUCGCUAGUAAUCGCAGAUCAGCAACGCUGCGGUGAAUACGUUCCCGGGCCU